This 403-nucleotide ribosomal RNA is filed under the name uncultured Oscillibacter sp. RNAcentral's name for it is "bacterial SSU rRNA". It matches the Rfam family "Bacterial small subunit ribosomal RNA", at positions 356 to 774 of the family's 1533-position model. The record is from RNAcentral. Lineage: Bacteria; Bacillati; Bacillota; Clostridia; Eubacteriales; Oscillospiraceae.
GGGGAAUAUUGGGCAAUGGACGCAAGUCUGACCCAGCAACGCCGCGUGAAGGAAGAAGGCUUUCGGGUUGUAAACUUCUUUUAAGGGGGAAGAGUAGAAGACGGUACCCCUUGAAUAAGCCACGGCUAACUACGUGCCAGCAGCCGCGGUAAUACGUAGGUGGCAAGCGUUGUCCGGAUUUACUGGGUGUAAAGGGCGUGUAGCCGGGAAGGCAAGUCAGAUGUGAAAUCUGGAGGCUCAACCUCCAAACUGCAUUUGAAACUGCUUUUCUUGAGUGUCGGAGAGGUAGGCGGAAUUUGUGGUGUAGCGGUGAAAUGCAUAGAUAUCACGAGGAACUCCGAUUGCGCAGGCAGCUUACCAAGCCGUAACUGACGCUCAAGCACGAAGGCGUGGGGAUCAAACA